AAAUAAUUAAUUAAAAUAAAAAAUCUUAUAACAAUAGUUUAUCUCAUCCUAACAAUGCAAAUAUCUAGCCAUAUAUAUUCAAAUUACAAGAAAUCAUUAGAAGUUUAAUAAACAUUACCCAAAGUUUGAAAAGUUAAAGAGAAACGAUGGAUUCUUGAUGAUUUUUAAGUUUUCCUUCCAAUCUUUGAGCAAUUUUCCUAGUAUGAAGUUUCCUUAAUGAUCUUCUUGCAAUUUCUCAGUUGAAAUCUCCUUCAAAGAUGAAUUUGCCCUCUUCUUCACUAGGAACAUUGGUUUAUAGCAGCGAAUUUACAAGUAUUAAAAUGAUGGAUUUUUUUAUUCAAUUAAUUUUAUGUCAAUGUGUCUUCAUGUAUAAGAGAUACGAAAGCUUUUUGAUUUGGUGCUUGGAAACAUGCCAUGUUGGGACAGUGGCCAAAUUCUGAACACCUUGAAUUCAAGAAAGAGUACCCAUCCGUAGAUGAAAGAUAUUUACUAUAUAUACUGAUGAAAUGAUAUUAUGUUGGCAUAAAGUCGGGAGUAUCUACAUCCUGUUGAGUUCAGUGUUCGAAACACAAAAUAGGUGAUAACGAUGAGAUUGAUUGCAUGAAAAGGAAUCUCAUUAUUUUAGUCCUAGAUUUCGAGGUUCAGGUACACACUCUUAAUUUAUUACUUUUAUGUAUUUUCUUUUGUUAUUUUCAACUAUGUUUUUAUAAGCUUUUAGAGUUUCUAUAAUUAAUUGGAAUUUUAUAUUUGAAAAUUAGAUAAAUGAAUCUAACAAAGGAUGCUUU
Molecule: long non-coding RNA, 785 nt
Filed under: Olea europaea (common olive)
Lineage: Eukaryota; Viridiplantae; Streptophyta; Magnoliopsida; Lamiales; Oleaceae
Description: long non-coding RNA (OEUR_LNC003021)
Source: RNAcentral